GACGAACGCUGGCGGCGUGCCUAACACAUGCAAGUCGAACGGAAAGGCCCGGUACUUGUGGGGUGCGCAAGUGGCGAACGGGUGAGUGUCACGUGUGUAACAUGUCCUUGUCUGUGGGGGAACUUCAGGGAAAAGGAGCGAAUAUAGGGCAGGAGAUCUUGCUGCAUGGUGGGGAUGGGAGAGAGUCGGCGGUUGGGGAUGGAAUCGCGGCCUAUCAGCUUGUUGGUGGGGUAGUGGCGUAACAAGGCAUCGACGGGUAGCCGGCCUGAGAGGGUGACCGGCCACAUUGGGACUGGGGUGCGGCCCAGACUCCAACGGGAGGCAGCGGUGGAGAAUAUUGCACGAUGGGCGGAAGCCUGAUGCAACAACGCCGCGUGCGGGAUGACGGCUUGCGGGUUGUAAACCGCUUUCGCCUGUGACGCAGAGUGAGUGACGGUAAUUGGUCAAGAAGCACCGGCUAACUACGUG
RNAcentral lists this ribosomal RNA (468 nucleotides) under uncultured bacterium. RNAcentral's name for it is "partial 16S ribosomal RNA". It matches the Rfam family "Bacterial small subunit ribosomal RNA", at positions 28 to 507 of the family's 1533-position model. The record is from RNAcentral.